This is a small nuclear RNA of Manis pentadactyla (Chinese pangolin), 107 nucleotides long. NCBI's taxonomy places the organism in Eukaryota, Metazoa, Chordata, Mammalia, Pholidota, Manidae. The record is from RefSeq and is a predicted model, not a curated record.
GUGCUCACUUCGGCAGUACAGUAUAAUAAAAUUAGAAUGACGCAGAGAAGAUCAGCAUGGCUCUGAAGCAGGGUGACAUGCAAAUUCUUGAACUAUUCCAUAUUUUC